AACGAACGCUGGCGGCAUGCCUAACACACGCAAGUCGAACGGGACCUUCGGGUCUAGUGGCGCACGGGUGCGUAACGCGUGGGAACCUGCCCUUAGGUUCGGAAUAACUCCCCGAAAGGGGUGCUAAUACCGGAUAAUGUCUUCGGACCAAAGAUUUAUCGCCUUUGGAUGGGCCCGCGUUGGAUUAGCUAGUUGGUAGGGUAAAAGCCUACCAAGGCGACGAUCCAUAGCUGGUCUGAGGGGAUGAUCAGCCACACUGGGACUGAGACACGGCCCAGACUCCUACGGGAGGCAGCAGUGGGGAAUAUUGGACAAUGGGCGAAAGCCUGAUCCAGCAAUGCCGCGUGAGUGAUGAAGGCCUUAGGGUUGUAAAGCUCUUUUACCCGGGAUGAUAAUGACAGUACCGGGAGAAUAAGCUCCGGCUAACUCCGUG
This 433-nucleotide ribosomal RNA is filed under the name uncultured bacterium. Its description in RNAcentral is "partial 16S ribosomal RNA". It matches the Rfam family "Bacterial small subunit ribosomal RNA", at positions 29 to 507 of the family's 1533-position model. The record is from RNAcentral.